Non-coding RNA from Pelobates cultripes (western spadefoot toad), 241 nucleotides. NCBI's taxonomy places the organism in Eukaryota, Metazoa, Chordata, Amphibia, Anura, Pelobatidae. The record is from the annotation of a GenBank genome assembly.
GUUUCUUUUGAACGUUUUGGAUUGCAGUCUGUGUACAUCAUUUGUUACUGCAAAAAGAUCACCCGUCAUUUUCAAUCCUGAGAAUAUUCAUUCAGCAUUUCAAUGUAGUGGAUAUACAUCUGUCUGGACAAUUAAAGAGUAAACUGAAUGCAUUUUCACUUAAACAAUGAUUCAAGAUGUCUAAUUUGCUAGAUACUGUCUUGGAAAAUGACAGGAGUUUCACACGCAAAAAAACGCAGAG